UCCGAGCGGUAGCACAGAAGAGCUUGCUCUCGGGUGACGAGCGGCGGACGGGUGAGUAAUGUCUGGGAAACUGCCUGAUGGAGGGGGAUAACUACUGGAAACGGUAGCUAAUACCGCAUAAUGUCGCAAGACCAAAGUGGGGGACCUUCGGGCCUCAUGCCAUCAGAUGUGCCCAGAUGGGAUUAGCUAGUAGGUGGGGUAACGGCUCACCUAGGCGACGAUCCCUAGCUGGUCUGAGAGGAUGACCAGCCACACUGGAACUGAGACACGGUCCAGACUCCUACGGGAGGCAGCAGUGGGGAAUAUUGCACAAUGGGCGCAAGCCUGAUGCAGCCAUGCCGCGUGUGUGAAGAAGGCCUUCGGGUUGUAAAGCACUUUCAGCGGGGAGGAAGGCGAUAAGGUUAAUAACCUUGUCGAUUGACGUUACCCGCAGAAGAAGCACCGGCUAACUCCGUGCCAG
This 460-nucleotide ribosomal RNA is filed under the name Klebsiella sp. RNAcentral describes it as "bacterial SSU rRNA". It matches the Rfam family "Bacterial small subunit ribosomal RNA", at positions 61 to 511 of the family's 1533-position model. The record is from RNAcentral. Lineage: Bacteria; Pseudomonadati; Pseudomonadota; Gammaproteobacteria; Enterobacterales; Enterobacteriaceae.